This 398-nucleotide ribosomal RNA is filed under the name uncultured bacterium. Its description in RNAcentral is "partial 16S ribosomal RNA". It matches the Rfam family "Bacterial small subunit ribosomal RNA", at positions 523 to 918 of the family's 1533-position model. The record is from RNAcentral.
AUACGUAGGGGGCGAGCGUUGUCCGGAAUGAUUGGGCGUAAAGGGCGCGUAGGCGGCCCGGUAAGUCUGGAGUGAAAGUCCUGUUUUUAAGAUGGGAAUUGCUUUGGAUACUGUCGGGCUUGAGUGCAGGAGAGGUAAGUGGAAUUCCCAGUGUAGCGGUGAAAUGCGUAGAGAUUGGGAGGAACACCAGUGGCGAAGGCGACGUACUGGACUGUAACUGACGCUGAGGCGCGAAAGUGUGGGGAGCAAACAGGAUUAGAUACCCUGGUAGUCCACGCUGUAAACGAUGAAUACUAGGUGUCGGGGAGCGACAAGCUGUUCGGUGCCGCAGCAAACGCAAUAAGUAUUCCACCUGGGGAGUACGUUCGCAAGAAUGAAACUCAAAUGAAUUGACGGGG